RNAcentral lists this unclassified non-coding RNA (578 nucleotides) under Diaporthe sp. LG23. RNAcentral's name for it is "sequence contains ITS1, 5.8S rRNA gene and ITS2". The stretch from base 230 to 383 matches the Rfam family "5.8S ribosomal RNA". Lineage: Eukaryota; Fungi; Ascomycota; Sordariomycetes; Diaporthales; Diaporthaceae. The record is from RNAcentral.
UUUNGAAGUAAAAGUCGUANNAAGGUNNCCGUUGGUGAACCAGCGGAGGGAUCAUUGCUGGNAACGCGCCCCGGCGCACCCAGAAACCCUAUGUGAACUCAUACCUCUGUUGCCUCGGCGCUGCUGGCCUUAGGGCCCUUUACUGCUAUAGUGGUAGAGAGAAGGCACGCCGGCGGCCAAAACAACUCUGUUUUUAUACUGAAACUCUGAGCAAUACAAAAUGAAUCAAAACUUUCAACAACGGAUCUCUUGGUUCUGGCAUCGAUGAAGAACGCAGCGAAAUGCGAUAAGUAAUGUGAAUUGCAGAAUUCAGUGAAUCAUCGAAUCUUUGAACGCACAUUGCGCCCUCUGGCAUUCCGGAGGGCAUGCCUGUUCGAGCGUCAUUUCACCCCUCAAGCACUGCUUGGUGUUGGGGCACUGCUUUUAACGAAGCAGGCCCUGAAAUCUAGUGGCGAGCUCGCCAGGACCCCGAGCGCAGUAGUUAAACCCUCGCUCUGGAAGGCCCUGGCGGUGCCCUGCCGUUAAACCCCCAACUCCUGAAAAAUUUGACCUCGGAUCAGGUAGGAAUACCCGCUGAA